GGCGUGCCUUAAGCAUGCAAGUAGAACGGUUCUGCUUCGGCAGGAUAGUUGCGAACGGCUGAGUAAUACGUAAGAAUCUACCCCAUGGUGUGGAAUACCCAUCCGAAAGGAUGGUUAAUACCGCAUAAGCUGCAUCCAAUAACAUGGAUGCAGGAAAGCACGUAACUGUGCGCCAAGGGAGGAGCUUGCGGCCCAUCAGCUUGUUGGUAGGGUAAUGGCCUACCAAGGCUACGACGGGUAGGGGAUGUGAGAGCAUGUUCCCCCAGAAUGGGACUGAGACACGGCCCAUACACCUACGGGUGGCAGCAACUGGGAAUAGUGCGCAAUGGACGAAAGUCUGACGCCGCGACGCCGCGUGUGGGAUGACGGCCUUCGGGUUGUAAACCACUUUUGCCAGAAGGGAGACCGACUGGAGAAUAAGCACCCGCUAACUACGUGCCAGCAGCUGCGGUAAUACGUAGGGUGCAAGCGUUACCCGGAUUUAUUGGGCGUAAAGCGUCCGUAGGCUUUUUUGUAAGUUAUGUCUCAAAGACUAGGGCUCAACCUUGGGAAGGGGCAUAAUACUGCAAGAAUUGAAAUACCUAGGGGUUACUGGAACUUGCUAUGUAGGAGUGAAAUCCGUUGAUAUGGCAAGGAACGCCAAGAGCGAAGGCAGGUAACUGGAGGUUAUUUAACGCUGAGGGACGAAAGCUAGGGGAGCGAAAGGGAUUAGAGACCCCUGUAGUCCUAGCCGUAAACGAUGCUCGCUAGGGGUGGGAAUGUAUUUUUCCGUCCCGUAAGCUAACGCGUUAAGCGAGCCGCCUGGGGAGUACGACCGCAAGGUUAAAACUCAAAGGAAUUGACGGGGACCCGCACAACCAGUGGAGCAUGUGGUUUAAUUCGAGACGGACCGAAGAACCUUACCUGGACUUGACAUUCUACCGUUUAGUUUUGCAGAAAUGUGAGACGAUCCUAAAUUUUUAGGAAGGUAGAACAGGUGUUGCAUGGCUGUCGUCAGCUCGUGCCGUGGGGUGUUCCCUUCAGUGGGGUAACGAGCGCAACCCCUGUCGUAUGUUAAAUUGUUCAUACGAGACUGCCGAGUUUAACUCGGAGGAAGUGGGGAUGACGUCAAGUCAGCAUGGCCCUUAUGUCCAGGGCUACACACAUGCUACAAUGGAGCCGACAAUGGGUUGCCAAGCAGUAAUGCGGAGCUAAUCCCAUCAAACGGCUUCUCAGUGGGGAUUGAGGGCUGCAAUUCGCCCUCAUGAACGUGGAAUUGGUAGUAAUCGCGGAUCAGCCAAGCCGCGGUGAAUACGUUCUCGGGUCUUGUACACACCGCCCGUCAAGUUAGUGAAGUUGGGAACACCCGAACCUCGGUGUAUACCGGGGGAAGGUGAAUCCAGCGAC
RNAcentral lists this ribosomal RNA (1386 nucleotides) under uncultured bacterium. RNAcentral's name for it is "bacterial SSU rRNA". It matches the Rfam family "Bacterial small subunit ribosomal RNA". The record is from RNAcentral.